This 255-nucleotide ribosomal RNA is filed under the name uncultured bacterium. RNAcentral's name for it is "partial 16S ribosomal RNA". It matches the Rfam family "Bacterial small subunit ribosomal RNA", at positions 524 to 776 of the family's 1533-position model. The record is from RNAcentral.
UACGUAGGGUGCGAGCGUUUGUCCGGAAUUAUUGGGCGUAAAGAGCUUGUAGGCGGUUUGUCGCGUCUGCUGUGAAAAUCCGGGGCUCAACCCCGGACUUGCAGUGGGGUACGGGCAGACUAGAGUGUGGUAGGGGAGACUGGAAUUCCUGGUGUAGCGGUGGAAUGCGCAGAUAUCAGGAGGAACACCGAUGGCGAAGGCAGGUCUCUGGGCCACUACUGACGCUGAGGAGCGAAAGCGUGGGGAGCGAACAGG